GUGUUCCCUUUGGCAGCACAUAACUAAAAGUGGAAUGAUACAGAGAAGAUUAGCAUGGCUCCUG
RNAcentral lists this small nuclear RNA (64 nucleotides) under Saimiri boliviensis boliviensis (Bolivian squirrel monkey). The record is from RNAcentral. Lineage: Eukaryota; Metazoa; Chordata; Mammalia; Primates; Cebidae.